AUGUUAAUUAUUUCUGAAAUGUUUAUUAUUGAGCAGUUACAUUUCACUGCACUUCAUGAUGUUUAUGAAUCCAGAAUUCUUAAAGAACCUUUUCAGAUUUCUGGACGGAGUAAAUACUGCCCAGUUCUUGUGGCUCUGUUUAGUGACAGUGAUGAAGAUCCCCUGCCCUCGUCUGACCAUCAGUCCAUGGACACACCAAACACUUUUGAAGAGAAUCCCUGGUUUCCUCCUCACAGGUCAGAGAAUGUUGGAGGAAUGGCCAGUGCCUCUGAAACUGACCCCCAACCCAGGAUGAAGACCCAGCAAAGCAAUGUGAGGGAAACUGAAAGUGAAAGUAAAAGAAUAUUAAUGAGAAUUUAAGCUCAGUGAAUGUGUAAGAAUAUUAAUGAUAAUUGAAGCUGGGUGUCGAUGUUCUGCAGGUAAAAGGGAAAAGUAGGAACUCUUUCUUUCAGUGGGUCUUUCAGUCGGCACUACAAGCUCUCCUGAUGAUCUUCACUCUGUGCUACAGCUCCUCACAGCCUCACAGAGGUAUCGUAAACAUGAACUCCUGAUUUCCUCAAAGCUAAUAUGUUGUUCAGUGUUGUGUUUUAUGGAGAUUUACUAACAUCCUGUGUUUGGAUGUGAAGGUGAAGCUGAUAGUGAUGAAGUUUGGAGCAGAGAAGAAUCCAACAGGAACCACAGCCCCGGGUAGAGAGAGACAGAGACAGAGACAGAGAGAGAGAGAGAGAACAGGGGAGAAGCAUUAUUCCUCCCUCACCCUCGAGUGCUCACAGUGGUGAUUAAACUGAGAGGAUUCACAGUUUAAUAGACAGAAUGCUGUGAUGUGAGGGAGAACAGAAGAGCUGGUUCUGUUUCCACGUGGAUCUGCUAAGAGAAACUUCUUUAAAACGUGUGGAGCUUCAGAAGCUUUUCAUUCAUUUCCUAUAUAAUCACAGAACUGAUAUACAUGUAAAUCUCCUGUACUGGAGGACUUUGCUUUUCUGGUGGACGUUAAAAUUAUUUUUCCAUCAAAUAUUAAAAUCAGUCACUCAUACCAGCAGUCAGACUGGUCUACCAGUAACCAGUGAGUGAUGCUCAGUGUUGAAGAAUUUGAUGCUUAUUGAUGUCCUACACCAUCUACCAUCUUUAGCAGACCCUCAGUCCCAUAGCAAACAGAUUAGUUUGUGAAAUUCUGACAUUAAUGCGAAGUUUUCACAAAAACUACAAACUGCAACAAAUAAAUUUAGAACAAGAAUCUUCCUCAACGUGGAGAAAAAUGAUACAGUUGGAGGUAUAAGAAGCGAGUGUGGAUGAAAAGUCUACAGUAAAGUACAGUUGGAGAUAUAAGAAGUGGGUGUGGAGGGAAAGUCUACAGUAAAAUACAGUUGGGGGCA
This is a long non-coding RNA of Pygocentrus nattereri (red-bellied piranha), 1373 nucleotides long. NCBI's taxonomy places the organism in Eukaryota, Metazoa, Chordata, Actinopteri, Characiformes, Serrasalmidae. The record is from Ensembl.